Molecule: long non-coding RNA, 906 nt
Organism: Leptidea sinapis
Lineage: Eukaryota; Metazoa; Arthropoda; Insecta; Lepidoptera; Pieridae
Exons: 2
Source: RefSeq, a predicted model, not a curated record
CUUAGAUAACUGGACGUUUUCAGAAAUUACAGUUAUCAGACGUGUGUUUUAUCUAUAAAAAGAUAUAAGUAUUAAUAUAUAAAUAAAACUCUUUGCCAUAACAACGAUUUUCUCAAUAAUCUUCUGAAUAUUUUUGUUAUUGAUAACAAUAGAUGGGUAUAUGCACGAGUUUCGGAUGUUGUGGUGAUGAUGACAACCCUACAAUUGCUAAUUUCGAUAGAGGAGGAGGAGCUAUGUUUGCCGACAAUAACCCUGGAGCAGGAGGAGAAGUUAUGUUUGCCAAUAAUAACCCCGGGACAGGAGAUGUGUCGUUCGCCGAUAAUAAUCCCGGGGGAGGAGGAGUAAUAUUCGCGGAUGAUAAUCCCGGAGGAGUAAAUUUUGCCGAUAAUGAUACUAGCGGAGGAGGAGUAGUGACAUUUGCAAAUUAAAUUUUUCUUCAAUAAAAAAAAAUAUAUUAAUGAAAACAUACUUCGAAUUAGGAAGUCCUUACAAUUGCCAUGGUAACAUAAAACUGCGAUGCACAGCUUAAAUUUAGAUAAUGUGCUCAUUUAGUAAGCACAUAUAUUUCUGAAAAACGAAAAAACACGAUAGGAUGUAUCCUAUUACCGAUUAAAAUGAUGAAAAAGAUGAAUACGUGACAAAGCGAUAAAAUGUGAAAAGUCUGGCGCACUGAAUUGCACCGUAGUAACUCGCAUAAAAUUUCAUCUGGGUUGCAAAUUCAAAUACCGUUGAUCGCAGAACUGAAGAUUGGCUCUGAUAACUAUGAUUUUCCAAUAUUGUGUUCAAUAUUUUAUGAAAGGUUUAGUUUUUUAAGGUUCUGGACUGCAAAUUUUUAAUUAUUCAUAAUGUUUAUUAUAUUAAUUGAUAGUAAUAAGAUUAUACUCUGAUUAAAGUAAUGAUGAGCUC